UUUGUGAAAGCCCCGUGCUCAACGCGGGGAGGCCAAGCGAUACUGCGUGACAUUGAGGGCUGAAGAGGGGAUUGGAAUUCCCGGUGUAGCGGUAAAAUGCUCAUAUAUCGGGAGGAACACCAGUGGCGAAGGCGGCUCCCUGGACCGCACCUGACGCUCAGAGGCGAAAGCUAGGGGAGCGAACAGGAUUAGAGACCCUGGUAGUCCUAGCCCUAAACGCUGGAUGCUAGGUGUAGGGCUGAUGAGGCUCUGUGCCGGAGCGAACGCGAUAAGCAUCCCGCCUGGGAACUACGGCCGCAAGGCUUAAACUCAAACGAAUUGACGGGGACCCGCACAAGCAGCGGAGCGUGUGGUUUAAUUCGAUGCUACACGAAGAACCUUACAUGGGUUUGACAUGUUGGUGGUACCGAACCGAAAGGGGAGGGACCCUUAGGGGAGCCAACACAGGUGCUGCAUGGCUGUUGUCAGCUCGUGCCGUGAGGUGUCGGGUUAAGUCCCGUAACGAGCGCAACCCUUGCUCUUAGUUAUAUGUGUCUAAGGGGACUGCUCGGUGACAAGCGCGGAGGAAGGGUGGGGAUGACGUCAAGUCAGCAUGGACCUUGAUAUGCCAGGGCUACACACACGCUACAAUGGUCCGGUACAAAGGACAGCCAAACCGCGAGGUGGAGCGAAUCCCAGCAAGGCUCGGUCCCAGUUCGGAUUGCAGGCUGCAACCCGCCUGCAUGAAGUUGGAGUUGCUAGUUAACCGCGCGUCAGCCAUAGUGCGGUGAAUAUGUACCCGGCUCGUUGUACACACCGCCCGUCACGUCAUGGGCGUUGGCAACGCCUGACAGCGGUA
This 838-nucleotide ribosomal RNA is filed under the name uncultured organism. RNAcentral's name for it is "bacterial SSU rRNA". It matches the Rfam family "Bacterial small subunit ribosomal RNA", at positions 591 to 1432 of the family's 1533-position model. The record is from RNAcentral.